RNAcentral lists this ribosomal RNA (402 nucleotides) under uncultured bacterium. RNAcentral's name for it is "bacterial SSU rRNA". It matches the Rfam family "Bacterial small subunit ribosomal RNA", at positions 355 to 774 of the family's 1533-position model. The record is from RNAcentral.
UGGGGAAUAUUGCACAAUGGGGGAAACCCUGAUGCAGCAACGCCGCGUGAGUGAUGAAGGCCUUCGGGUUGUAAAGCUCUGUCUUCAGGGACGAUAAUGACGGUACCUGAGGAGGAAGCCACGGCUAACUACGUGCCAGCAGCCGCGGUAAUACGUAGGUGGCAAGCGUUGUCCGGAUUUACUGGGCGUAAAGGGAGCGUAGGCGGAUACUUAAGUGGGAUGUGAAAUACCCGGGCUCAACUUGGGUGCUGCAUUCCAAACUGGGUGUCUAGAGUGCAGGAGAGGAAAGUGGAAUUCCUAGUGUAGCGGUGAAAUGCGUAGAGAUUAGGAAGAACACCAGUGGCGAAGGCGACUUUCUGGACUGUAACUGACGCUGAGGCUCGAAAGCGUGGGGAGCAAACA